UACGUAGGCAGCAAGCGUUGUUCGGAGUUACUGGGCGUAAAGAGUGCGUAGGCGGUCCUGUAAGUUUGGUGUGAAAUCUCCCGGCCCAACUGGGAGGGUGCGCCGAAGACUGCAGGGCUUGAGUAUGGGAGAGGUAAGCGGAAUUCCUGGUGUAGCGGUGAAAUGCGUAGAUAUCAGGAGGAACACCUGUGGUGUAGACAGCUUACUGGACCAUAACUGACGCUGAGGCACGAAAGCGUGGGUAGCAAACAGG
This 253-nucleotide ribosomal RNA is filed under the name uncultured bacterium. RNAcentral describes it as "partial 16S ribosomal RNA". It matches the Rfam family "Bacterial small subunit ribosomal RNA", at positions 524 to 776 of the family's 1533-position model. The record is from RNAcentral.